GGGGCCGAUCGGUUUCGACGAUGGUGAGUGGUUCAAGGGAAGCGUGCCGAGGAUGUGAAGUCACCUCGUUAACGCCCUUCACACAACAAUAAGUGCUGAACAGAACCGCACUGACUUCGCUCUCGCUGCCUAAUUCCAGCGAUUGAGCCUCUAAAGUCCGUCAGCCCGCAGGUGCUUCUACUGCGGAUCCUGGCGUCAUCUUGAGGAGCCACUGGUCGUCUGGCGGGUCACUUGCCAGCCGACGAGAUCUAAGGUGACUGGGCUUGUUAGCCGCUUGUCUGCGAGACAGGCUAGAGCCGAGAAAAGCGCGAGCAGACUGCGCACGGAGAAGCCUUGGGGGCUAGCCAUCGGACCGGGGUUCGAUUCCCCGCGGCUCCACCC
RNAcentral lists this transfer-messenger RNA (381 nucleotides) under Actinomycetaceae bacterium. It matches the Rfam family "transfer-messenger RNA". From Rfam's summary of the family: Bacterial tmRNA, also known as 10Sa RNA or SsrA, is named for its dual tRNA and mRNA-like properties. Its role is to liberate the mRNA from a stalled ribosome. The record is from RNAcentral. Lineage: Bacteria; Bacillati; Actinomycetota; Actinomycetes; Actinomycetales; Actinomycetaceae.